UAGUGGCUACAGGGUUGAACUGGCUUUGGCAGAACUUGUAUGUAUCUCCAAGGCUUUCCACCCCCAUGACACCCUCCAAAUCUCAGUUCCGUCAAGUUUAUUGCCCUUGGGUGACCCAGGCAUACUUCAUCUAGGCUCCUUGACAGCAGAAGAAGUAAGCAAACACUCGGCUCACUGCUCUGCAAUUUCUCUGCAAGCUCUCAGACUCCUUCACACAGCGGUUUAUCUGCUUCUGAGGAGAGGGCAGCAACGGCCAGCUCUGAAAUGAAGUGCCUGAGUCCCAGAGUUUGUUCUUCGACUGUGUGAACAAGAACCUGGAUUCUGGUAACAUCUUUCCAGCAUCAGUGUCACAGUCAACCACUCCCAAGGGUGAGCCAGUGAGCCCUCAGGAACGGAUGAAAGAAAGAAGAUCGCUUGCAGCUGCGUGAUUCCAUUAAGCUCAACCUUUCUGUCUUCCCAUAGAAACUGGUUUUCUGUAAAUCUGGUUUUCUCGAAAACUUUUGUUCCUAUUACCUUCCCUUUGUUGCCAAAACUCUUUUUUUUUUUCUUUUGG
Molecule: long non-coding RNA, 553 nt
Organism: Phacochoerus africanus (Common warthog)
Lineage: Eukaryota; Metazoa; Chordata; Mammalia; Artiodactyla; Suidae
Exons: 3
Source: RefSeq, a predicted model, not a curated record